GCCGUAAACGAUGUCUACUUGGAGGUUGUGCCCUUGAGGCGUGGCUUCCGGAGCUAACGCGUUAAGUAGACCGCCUGGGGAGUACGGCCGCAAGGUUAAAACUCAAAUGAAUUGACGGGGGCCCGCACAAGCGGUGGAGCAUGUGGUUUAAUUCGAUGCAACGCGAAGAACCUUACCUGGUCUUGACAUCCACAGAACUUUCCAGAGAUGGAUUGGUGCCUUCGGGAACUGUGAGACAGGUGCUGCAUGGCUGUCGUCAGCUCGUGUUGUGAAAUGUUGGGUUAAGUCCCGCAACGAGCGCAACCCUUAUCCUUUGUUGCCAGCGGUUAGGCCGGGAACUCAAAGGAGACUGCCAGUGAUAAACUGGAGGAAGGUGGGGAUGACGUCAAGUCAUCAUGGCCCUUACGACCAGGGCUACACACGUGCUACAAUGGCGCAUACAAAGAGAAGCGACCUCGCGAGAGCAAGCGGACCUCAUAAAGUGCGUCGUAGUCCGGAUUGGAGUCUGCAACUCGACUCCAUGAAGUCGGAAUCGCUAGUAAUCGUGGAUCAGAAUGCCACGGUGAAUACGUUCCCGGGCCUUGUACACACCGCCCGUCACACCAUGGGAGUGGGUUGCAAAAGAAGUAGGUAGCUUAACCUUCGGGAGGGCGCUUACCACUUUGUGAUUCAUGACUGGGGUGAAGUCGUAACAAGGUAACCGUAGGGGAACCUGCGGUUGGAUCACCUCCUUACCUUAAAGAAGC
Molecule: ribosomal RNA, 746 nt
Filed under: Salmonella enterica subsp. enterica serovar Typhimurium str. LT2-4_delta.ramA::kan
Lineage: Bacteria; Pseudomonadati; Pseudomonadota; Gammaproteobacteria; Enterobacterales; Enterobacteriaceae
Description: bacterial SSU rRNA
Rfam family: Bacterial small subunit ribosomal RNA
Source: RNAcentral